This 459-nucleotide ribosomal RNA is filed under the name uncultured bacterium. Its description in RNAcentral is "partial 16S ribosomal RNA". It matches the Rfam family "Bacterial small subunit ribosomal RNA", at positions 338 to 795 of the family's 1533-position model. The record is from RNAcentral.
CCUACGGGAGUCAGCAGUGAGGAAUAUUGGUCAAUGGGAGAGCUCCUGAACCAGCCAAGCCGCGUGAGGGAAGACGGCCCUAUGGGUUGUAAACCUCUUUUGUCGGAGAACAAAACCCGGGACGAGUCCCGGACUGCGUGUAUCCGAAGAAUAAGCAUCGGCUAACUCCGUGCCAGCAGCCGCGGUAAUACGGAGGAUGCGAGCGUUAUCCGGAUUUAUUGGGUUUAAAGGGUGCGUAGGCGGUCUGUUAAGUCAGCGGUAAAAGUGCGGGGCUCAACCCCGUCGAGCCGUGGACACUGGCAGACGUGAGUUGGCGGGAAGUACGCGGAAUGCGCGGUGUAGCGGUGAAAGGCAUAGAUAUCGCGCAGAACUCCGAGUGCGAAGGCAGCGUACCGGCGCCAGACUGACGCUGAGGCACGAAAGCGUGGGGAUCGAACAGGAUUAGAUACCCUAGUAGUC